RNAcentral lists this ribosomal RNA (552 nucleotides) under Triticum aestivum (bread wheat). RNAcentral describes it as "partial small subunit ribosomal RNA". Lineage: Eukaryota; Viridiplantae; Streptophyta; Magnoliopsida; Poales; Poaceae. The record is from RNAcentral.
AUGAACUGUGAUGCCCAGCUUUUGGCAGAGGUUUUGCAUGGCUUUGGUGGCUCAGUCGCCAGCUUCCCCACAACCUACGGGUUGUCAAUCUCUCCUACAAGACUACGUCUGGUGCACUUUCAAUUCCUCAUCGAUCGAGUCAAAUCAUGCCUCGCGGGAUGGAAGGGCAAGCUGAUGACUUUGGCGGGCCGGCGCACUUUCGUGCGAGCGGUGCUCUUUGCCCUGCCAACUUUCGCGCUGGCAGUGCUCAAGGUGCCAAAGAGGGUACUGAAGGAAAUCGACAAGGCCCGGCGACGCUUCCUGUGGGCUCAGGACGAAGCGCUGACUGAUGGAAAGUGCAAAGUGGCGUGGAGCUCGGUCUGCUCACCGGUAGAAAAGGGCGGGCUGGGGAUACCUGAUCUGCAAUGGUUCAGUUCCGCCCUCAGACUACGCUGGCUUUGGCUGUCCUGGCAGCAGCCGGCGAGACCCUGCUUGGCUUUCCCGUUGCCAUGCGACAAGAUGGACAGAGAGAUGUUUGAGCAAGCCACGACGGUCCAGAUCGGCGAUGACUAG